RNAcentral lists this ribosomal RNA (280 nucleotides) under uncultured bacterium. Its description in RNAcentral is "partial 16S ribosomal RNA". It matches the Rfam family "Bacterial small subunit ribosomal RNA", at positions 506 to 784 of the family's 1533-position model. The record is from RNAcentral.
UGCCAGCAGCCGCGGUAACACGGGGGGCGCAAGCGUUGUUCGGAAUCAUUGGGCUUAAAGAGCACGUAGGCGGUACUGUAAGUUGGAGGUGAAAUCCCAUCGGCUCAACCGUGGAAUUGCCCCCAAAACUGCAGAACUAGAGAGAGUAAGGGGUACGUGGAACUUCCAGUGGAGCGGUGAAAGGUGUUGAUAUUGGAAGGAACGCCAGUGGCGAAAGCGAAGUACUGGGCCUCUUCUGAAGCUGAGUUGCGAAAGCUAGGGUAGAGAACGGGAUUAGAUA